Non-coding RNA from Podarcis muralis (Common wall lizard), 2348 nucleotides. Lineage: Eukaryota; Metazoa; Chordata; Lepidosauria; Squamata; Lacertidae. The record is from RefSeq and is a predicted model, not a curated record.
CUCUGGUUUAACCCACAGCGCCACCCAUGUUCCUAGGCUUAGUCGUCUCCAGUUAAGGCUAAGCAGCUUCUUAUUCUGUUCUUGCCGCAGAAUGAGGGGGCUUUCCUUCCAAGGCAACCACAGCAAAGUACGCAACGACUUUAGUUGGAAAAUAAGCACCACCUAAACCCAGCCACGUUUGGAAAAAGAGGGCGGUCUCCCAUUCCGGGGUUCAAAUUGGGAAUCUGCUUUGGAAUGCAGGAUGUUUUCAGUCCCAUGUUUUAUAAGGGAAGGAAUCCCCACGAGCAGGUGCAGAAAAAAAUCUUUGUACACAACUUUUAUAAAUCUACAAACAAAUGUAACAAGCCCAUAGCACAUGAAAAUCAGUGAAUCUCAAAAGAAUCUACCUGGGGACCAGCGACAGCAGGGAGGAUUGAUAUUCUGGUGACCAGGAAAGCAACCAAGGAGCUGGGAAACCUCUGACUCAAAGAUCCCCCUCACCAUGAAUUUACAGAGUGGUCUUAAUUUAAGUAAGAAAUUAUUCCACAGUAUCGGACGUCACCACACCUCUGCCACACAGUAAUAUGGAGAUAAUAAAUGCCUGUCCCCAUAAAGUUGUUAUAAAGCUUUUCAUUUUUAGAGAAGAGAUACUGUACUAGAUGGAUCCUUAGUCUGAUCCACCAGUACUACUGAAUCAAGUUGCUGUAAUUCAAAGUGGUGUUGAAACCCAAUGGAAACAACUAAAUAUUUGUUUAUUUAUCUUCGUUUCUUUCAAAUCUUGCUCGCUCAUUCCUUUGGAACUGGUAGCUUGGAGUGUUUAUUGCCACAUUUUGUACCCGAUCUUUGCAUAAGCUUACAUCUAACAAAAAAGUGUCUUUUCAAAGUGCCAGAAUCAUACUGGUAUUUAAAUGCAUACUGCCUCCAAGCAGUUGCCAAAUGUUCCAAACGGCCAGUACCCAGGAGUUAUGAUUUGUGUUGUUCUGAGCAUUCAAAGAAAGCUGCAUUCUAACUGCCACAGAACUCCAUGGAGCAGUUGCUACAGUGCUCAGACCAGCUUCACUCUUCUCAGGUCUUCUCUGAGGUCAGACACACGAAGAGAAAGCCCUGGGAAAAGUCCUUGCGUAACAGAGACUGGUUGAAGAACUGAUUUCAUCAUGCCUUCUAUCGCCAGCCUUCCCAGUACCAAAGCUCCCGUUCCACCCCAGGCACAUUAUGGCUCCUUUCCGGUAUGGGUGUUGUGCAGGGUGUCCUGUUUUCAACUGGGUGCUUUUGUCCUGGCUCUUAUCAGCUACAUUAUGGAGCAUCUGCUCCACAGCCAAUCUUGAAUGGAGAGUGUGGCAGGUUGAGAACAUCAUGGGCAGCAACAAACCUGGCAUUGAAGGGAUUGGGAUCUGGGGCGCCUGUUCCGUGCGUAGAAUUACAAUGAAGAAAAUCAACAUUAUAUGCAUACCAUUAAACGAUGAGGAGUCCCUACCCUCUGAAAUAAUCAUUGCCCAGGACUUGAUGCCAUUGGCCUCAAUUGCCAAUGUGGUGACCGUUUUUUGUAUGGCCUUUGCACUAUAUAGCAUCUUUAAGCCUGGAAAACACGAUGAUUUCAUCACUACCUUCUUUUUUUACCUUCUUGUGUGUGUUUGCAGUCCAUUUUACAGAGAAUACUAGCCAAGGCUUUGAGUGCCUGUGUGCUGCUUUCAGCCCUGGCCAGCAAGAACAAUGAUCAGGGACACUCGGUUUCAAUGGUCCAGAGUGACCUAGGUCACUUCCAGCUUUAGGCAGAAUAAAAAAUUAAAAAUGAUGGAACACAAAACAAAAUAGCGCCACACACCAAAGAAGUGAGACUUAAUUAAAUGUGAUGAAAUAUCUGUGAACAAAAAAGAACCAUGUCUUUUACCAAAUCAUAUCUCUCAUUUGCUUAAAUUUUCAGCUCUAAGCUGAGAGGGUAUGUCACAUUUUGGUCCGCUGCAGGUAGAAGCAAGUUGAGAGAAGAAUCAAAUACCAAAAAAUUAAGAAGUGACUAAAUCUAAGGCCCACAUAAUUAUACAGACUAUAAUUUUGAACAGAUCCAUAAUUUUUUUAAAGUCCUGUAAAGUUUUCAGUUUUUAGGCUUCCAGAAGGUUGGGUUUUCUGCCAAAUUUCACCAGAUCUUAUUUUAUUGCUGCCAUAAAUACAAUUCUGCCCCUUACAGCUUUCCCACAGUGAUUUGCUACUAGGAAUGACUUCAACAGAAGACCACAGGUAUUUAGGAACAAAUUUCCCUGUACAUCACAGUAAAAUUGUUAUCUAUACAGACUGUGCUCUCUGUGUCUAUAAUCCAUACUGUGAAAGGAAAAAUACAUUACACAUUUGUAAAAGUCAACAGUUUCAUAACAAAA